ACCAAUGUGGUUUCUAUUGAAGCAUAAAGGCACCUAACCUUAUCCUUUGCUGAUUCACUCCUAAAUACACAAACACCCACCUUUAGCUCCUCUCCAAAAACCCCCAGCUCUGAUCUCUCUCUAAAUCGAAGAAACCGGCGUCGAUUCUCCGGUGAAACCCCACCCUUUUUGCUUCAGUCCAACCACCUGACACCCCCCCCCACACCUGGUAGAUUUAAUAGAGAAACAGAGAGAGGCCGAGCAGAAGAGGAUACGGAAGAAGGAGGGAGAACCGGCGGAGCCGAUGCCGUUGUCGACGGCGGCGGUGGUUCCGGUAACUCUCUCUCGAGUCACAGCAGCCGCGGGUCCUCGAUAAAACACCGUGUGGCCGACGAUUUGGUGGAUAUCAACAGCAAUAGUGGCGGCGGAGGUGACGUCCGGUCACCGUGAACAGUUUCCGGCGACUCUCAGGUUCCCUUGAUGACGGAUUUGGGUUCGUGAACGGUCCGAUUCAGAUCAACUUUAGGGUGGUUUGAGUCAGUUUAGUUCAGGUCAACACAGUCGAACCGGGUCAACUCAGCUUCGACUCGGUCAACGGUUCAAAACAGUCGACAGAAUGGUUCGGGUUCGCGACUCAGUUCGGUGUCGGGUCAGGCACACGACUCCGAUAGUGGUUUGGGUACACGUCGGUCAGUUUUACUCUAGAUCAAACAAGUCAGUUUGGUUCGGUCAAAAUCAACAGCUCUUGGUUUCGGGUUCGGUCAACUGGUCAACACGGGUCAACACCGAUCAACAGAAGUCAAGGAUGGUCAACUGGUCAUAGAAGACCCGGAAUGUCAUAGUUGCACGCUAGCUACUUCACGUUCUUGGAAUGACACUACGGAAGCACACUAAGUUAGCUUUAUACAGGAAUAUCAAGGUUGCAUUUUCAAAAAUAUGGAACGGUUGGAAUAAGAGAACCCAUGGUGAUUUGAGUACUUAGCGGGCGUUCACUGUUUAGAAGUCUUAGCUUACUUGCUUCCGCUGUGCAAUGAAGAUACCGGUCCAGUCACGCC
Helianthus annuus (common sunflower) is the source of this 1034-nucleotide long non-coding RNA. RefSeq lists it as uncharacterized. The transcript has 3 exons. The record is from RefSeq and is a predicted model, not a curated record. NCBI's taxonomy places the organism in Eukaryota, Viridiplantae, Streptophyta, Magnoliopsida, Asterales, Asteraceae.